AAACGUUCACCUCGCCCAGCGAGGCGCAGAUCGACUCAGGCCAUGGAACGGGGGCUGAG
The submitters of this non-coding RNA (59 nucleotides) gave its source as unclassified sequences. The record is from Rfam.